UUCUCGGUUAUUGCAGCUCAAUCUCUCUCCUCACCCACCAUCUCAAUCUUUCUUCAUUUACGGUGGCCACCUCCAAGCCGAGAUGCCGCCGCUGCCCACUUCUCAUUUCUUGUUCAGCCUCGUCAUCUCUCUCUGCGUGGAUGAGAUGCCGGUGGAUCUGAUCGUCGAGGCUCUUCAGAUCUAUCUGAUCCGCCCUCACGAAUCCACCGCUGGUGUGGACGUUCCCUCCACCAUUUCUCCGGAAAGCGCAGAUGCAACGUCAGUGGAGCUUACGGCGGGAACGCGCAAUAAGCGACGACCUUCAACAGCGAAAAGAUCUGAGGCAAAAAUUCUCUUCCUCGUCAGAUUUUUGACAAAUGCCCCAAAACAUUGAGAAAACGGUUGGGAAAUCGAAGGGAGUCAUGCAGCUAUUCAAAUUUGUAAAUGAAAAAGGAAAUGCCAUGAUUAACAGUUCAAAAUCAAAGUCAAAGCUUAAAUGGGUGAGAGAAAGAAGCAUGCCAAGAAGUUCAUGAGAUAAGCGUAUAAAACAUGUGCGAAAAAGUUUGAAAGGAACAGCUAGAGAUGCUGAGGACAACAGUAACACGAUUGUAAGCAAAGCGAGCCAAUAAGUCCGGAUAGUCCUAUUGAUGGGACUCCUAGACCUGCAGUUCAUUUGUCAUGCAAAGUUUUUAUUGCUUCUGAAACCAGCACACAUGGUGGAUUUUCUGUCUUUCAUAAACAUGCAAAUGAGUGUCUUCCCCCAUUGAAUAUGAGCCAACAGAUUCUGAGCUUCCGACACAGGAAUUGAUUGCUAGGGAUACACAUGGAAAUGAAUGGCAAUUCAAACAUAUAUUUAGAGGCAUGGAAAUAGUAGCUCUACGGGCAUGAUACUAAUAGAUAGAAAUUAUAGAUGUUAUAUAUUAGAGGAAGAGAAUGGGGUUUUAAGAGUACAAAAUGACUAAAAUUGGUGUUGUGCAUUAAAGGAAAUGAUCCCAAUAGAUUGCAAAUAGAAGUGGCAAAAAAGGUAAAUCAUUGAACAGAAAUUGUAAAAUGAGUUGCAGGAACUUCGUGAUCCAAAAUAUGAAUGAGAGAUAACACUCAAGAUUUCACAGAUGAGGUGCAUCACGGCAAUGACAAAUACAGGUGACUUAUUGAGUUAAAAAAAAACCUAACCCUAAAAAUAUAAUAGCCGCCUCUCACUCCCAACUCUUCAGAAAAAGGAAAGAGAAGGAAAAGAAAAGCGGUCUCUCUCUCUUCACUCUACAAUCAUUAUAGAGAGAAGAUAACAUUGCAAGCAUGGGCGGCUACAAUACCUACUCCUACUCUACUGAAUCAAGACAUCACCAUAUUAAAAAAAAGGUAUGUAAUUCUUUCUUUUCGAGCUAUGUCCUGUAUCUAUAUUUGACAACAUAGUCAUAUCUAAUUUACAUGAGCAUAAUGUUGAUGAGGUAUUAGAGAUUAUUAGAGUCAGAUUUCAAAUACAAUUACUACUCUUUGCAAAUAUUAAUUCUAGAAUGCUUUGCAAAUCCUAUCAUCUAUUUAUUUAAUAGGAUGUAUUAUGUCUCCAAUUUUCUUUACACAAACGAAUUCAAUGCUUAGUUUCUAAAAAAUAUAUACUACUUGAUAGGUUUUUCAUUUAGUAUGGUAUCUGUUCAUUUACAACAGAUUUAUAAAUUUAUAUUCUUUCCCACUCUCUCUGUCUCUUUCUUUCUUUCUUUCUUAUUUUUCAUGUUCUAAAAUUUUAAUUUCAUUCUCUCUUUCUUUUUUCUUUUUUUUCAUGUUCUAAAACUGUGACUAUAUUCUCUCACUCUGGAUUUCUUUGAUGUUGCUUCAUUGAUAAUUAUAAAUAUAAGUUUUAAAUAUGAAUACUAACAUAUUAUUUAACUUUGUUCAAGGACAAAUUGAAUUGGGAAUAGAUAAUUGCUAUUGCCUUGUAGGAAAGAUUUUUGUACGUUUAAUAGUUUGUCACCCUCAGUCUUUGUGUGAAGAUUUUUGUACAUUUAAUAGUUUGUCAACCUCCGUCUUUGUGCGUCUCUCGGCCUCUCUCUCUCUCUCUCUGUGUAUGUCUCAUGUUUCAUGAUCUGAAAUUAUGAUUUUAUUCUCAUUUUUCAUUUUCUAAAAUUGUGAUUUUAUACCCUGCCUCUCUGAUAUCAUAGGUACAAUUUCAUUCAUAAUUUCAAACCUAUACAUUAUAGGUUUUAAGUAUGAGUACUAACAUAUUAUUAAUACUUUUUCAGGGAUUGAGAAGAUAUUCUAGAAGAAUAAUAUAUAUAUAUAUAUAUAGUGUAAUAUAAUAGUAUUUUCUUACAAAAGCCUAUGCAAGUAUAAAACACAUAGGCUGCACCCUACCCCCACACAAUUCUCGAUACAUACAAAGAAAACUGAUAUAAGAUUUUAAUCAACUGGAGUUUACAAUAAGAGCACAGCCAAUAUUUUAUGAUGAUUCCCGCCAAAAAUAGUGCCACGUGGCAGGUCAAGCAUAGCAAGCUGGAAUAUAUACGACAAAAUGUUAAAUACACAUGCUAUAUUUUUCUUUAUAAAUAAACAUAACUUUUUGUACUCUUUAAAAUUAUUUAAUCUUAUUUGAGAAGCUAAUAUUGCUCAACAGGAGCUGCCUCUUUUUUGACCAAUGAUUGCCAUUUUUCAAAAUGACCAAAAGGGUAAAUAAAAUAGCUUUACAUUUUCCCUCCAAAAAGGAUAAAAUUGUCUUUCCAUCAAACUGCCACUUUAUAUUAGUAUAGAUUUACUGUACUCAAGCCUUGUAGAGCAUGGGGACCAGCAUUCGACGAAAUGAUGUGAAACACUAGUAGGUUGUUUUAAGUAUUGAGUGUACUCAAGGCUUAUGACGUUACUCCCUCUAUCCACGAAUAAAUAUCUUAUUUUGCUAUUUUCAUCCAUCCAUCAAUAUAAGUUUCAUUUCUCUUUUA
Molecule: long non-coding RNA, 2906 nt
Organism: Salvia splendens (bonfire salvia)
Lineage: Eukaryota; Viridiplantae; Streptophyta; Magnoliopsida; Lamiales; Lamiaceae
Exons: 11
Source: RefSeq, a predicted model, not a curated record